AUUUGAGGCUUUACUCUGUACCCUUACCUUAAGUGGUCUAAAUAAAUUAUGUAAUUUAUUUUUCACAAAAACUCAAUAAAUAAUUUCUGUUAUUGUCCCUACUUUACAGGCAAGGACCAGAGAGAGAAAACAAGGUCACGCUGCUAGUAAGGUGUGGUUUCAGGAUUCAACUUCAGUAAAUCUAACUCCAAAACUGUGCCCUUUUCUGCUUUUUUGUAUAUUUUGCUACUGCUAUUUCAAACAUUGGCCUUCAAGUCUUAAAAGACCACCAGGAAAAUCCGUAACCAGGCAAUGGACUAUUUCAUAUAAUAGAGUUUCUUGCUCAUGUGUUUAAGGAAUGGCUUGGUCAGCUCUGAUAAAAGACUGCCACUGAGUUCAGGUAAUUUCACCUGUACCAAUUUUGGACUUUGGUUGAGGACAGCAGAUACAGGGAACAUUUACUUUUCAUGGAGGAAAUGGAAGUUCCUAGAGAGCUUCAGGAAAUGUUACAAGUUUAUUACUGUUGGAGGUGGGUCAAGAAACGGUCUCCUGCUCAAUACUCAGAACAGAUACAAGGUAGAGUUUGGGCGACAUUAA
This 576-nucleotide long non-coding RNA is filed under the name Felis catus (domestic cat). Its description in RNAcentral is "lncRNA (ENSFCAG00000045141.2)". Lineage: Eukaryota; Metazoa; Chordata; Mammalia; Carnivora; Felidae. The record is from RNAcentral.